UUGGUGUUUUCCAUGGGCCUCUCCUGUCUCCCGCCCUCCAGGGAAGGGGAUGAGAUUCCUGGAUGUCUUUUCCCGCUGCGGUCUCCACCCUCACGUUAAGUCCUGGAGCCUCUGCUCAGCCCCUGCUCCUCAGGGAGCCAGCACUCGCUGGCGCUGGGCUUGGAGCUGGAGCUGCAGGAAGGAAUUCAGGGGGUCCCUCCCGUCCUUCCAGGUGAGCUGUGGUGCACCAGACCUUGAGUUUUAAUGGUUUUAUGCAGUUCUUUUUAAAAAGACGGAUGGAUGAAUGAAGAAGGAUUUUAACAAAGGAAGAGGGAGGGAGAAAUGGAGCUGUUUGGAGCAAGCUGAGGUUUCCCCCCGCACCGCCUGGGCCAUGGGUGAGACAGAGCUGCUCAGCACCACUUCCACCCUUGGGUGUCUGCUGGAGUUGUGAAGGCACUCCCUGAACGCCCCCUUCCCGUUCACCUGCUGGGAGAUGGUUGCUGCAGAGAAGAUUUAAAUGAAAUUCCUGUCGCUCCCCAACUGCCAAGUGGAUACUGAGCCCGUGGAAGGGCCCGGGGGGUCAGGAGAAAGGAGCAAGUAGGAAAACCCACAAUCUGCCAGGCCUUCCCCUCCGCCCCCCUCGAAAGAAAGGAUUUACGGCUCAACCUUGCACCAGCUGUUCCUCGGUUUUAACAGACAAGAGAGAAAUAAAUAAAAUUAAACGGCCACCGCCAGCCAGCCCCAGACCUCGGUGAAAUCAGGGAGAGUGUUUCCGUGACCCCUCCAGCGAGGGGAGGAGGAGGAGGCACAGCAGCACCGUGAGGAAGCUGGGAUUGCUUGGAGACCACCCCCUCCUCCCGUGCGGCACCGCAGAGGUGGAUUAAAAAGGAGAAGUGGCUUCCCUGAGGCUCCCAGAGGGGCUUUUUUGCAAGGAGUUUGCUGAUCCUGCGCUCUUCCCGGGGUGCUGGCCGGGUGGGAGGUGCCCUGCCCCAGCCUGGGGAAUUCCCUCUCUUCAGAGCCUGCCUGUUGGAGUCCUGCUCCCUGUGGGCUGUUGCCUGGGCUGAGGCUCGGAAGGGCUCUCAGCGUUCCCGCUCCAACGGUUGUUCUAAACCCAAAUCCCCUCCUCUGUUGUGAAUUUUUAAUGUUUUUAACCCUCCUUCCCUGCGCCCGCGAGCUCUCCCGGGGCAGAGCGUAGGGUGGGCUCCUCUCCUGGUCCUCCUGCUCCAGACCCUUCUCCGGACUGUCCGCCCCGGUCGGAGCUCGCCCCGGGAGCGGGCGCAGGGGCAGGGUAGGGGUUGGCCCCUGUCCCCCUCCCCUUCUCGUCCUGCUCUGAGUCCCCUGGGGCCUGGGCUAUGCUGCGGGGCGGA
Molecule: long non-coding RNA, 1346 nt
Filed under: Corvus moneduloides (New Caledonian crow)
Lineage: Eukaryota; Metazoa; Chordata; Aves; Passeriformes; Corvidae
Description: lncRNA (ENSCMUG00000017111.1)
Source: RNAcentral